CACCCCGCCGCGGCCACUGUUCGCACAUACCUGGUGCUGAUCAGCGCCGAGGCCGACUCGCCGCCACCCAGCGCGCCGCAGGCCGGGGCGGAGAGGCGCAGGGCGCUGGGCAGUCUCCGGCGAGGGCAAGGAGCGGUGCCCGGCUGGGCCGGCUAUGUCUCCCGCUACUGCGGUUCCCGCCGGCGCCCGCGACCUCGGGGGAGCAGCCGGGUUCGGGGGCGCCGCGCUGUGAGGCCGGGGCCUAGAGCCAGCCGCGGCCGCGCAGGAGGGGCCCAGGGCCCGCGCUCGCCCGCGCCCGCGUCCCCGCCUUCCUCCCGCGCUCAGCCCCGCCUCGGCUCGCUGACCUUGGCUCUCGUCGCCAUGGCCUCCGUCGCCCGGGAGAGCGCGGGCUCGCAGCGCCGGCUACCGCCGCGUCACGGGGCGCUGCGCGGGCUGCUACUGCUCUGCCUGUGGCUGCCGAGCGGCCGUGCGGCCUUGCCGCCCGCGGCGCCGCUGUCCGAACUGCACGCGCAGCUGUCGGGCGUGGAGCAGCUGCUGGAGGAGUUCCGCCGGCAACUGCAGCAGGAGCGGCCUCAGGAGGAGCUGGAGCUGGAGCUGCGCGCGGGCGGCGGCCCCCAGGAGGACUGCCCGGGCCCGGGCGGCGGCGGCUACAGCGCAAUGCCUGACGCCAUCAUCCGCACCAAGGACUCCCUGGCGGCGGGUGCCAGCUUCCUGCGGGCGCCGGCGGCCGUGCGGGGCUGGCGGCAAUGCGUGGCGGCCUGCUGCUCCGAGCCGCGCUGCUCCGUGGCCGUGGUGGAGCUGCCCCGGCGCCCCGCGCCCCCGGCAGCCGUGCUCGGCUGCUACCUCUUCAACUGCACGGCGCGCGGCCGCAACGUCUGCAAGUUCGCGCUGCACAGCGGCUACAGCAGCUACAGCCUCAGCCGCGCGCCGGACGGCGCCGCCCUGGCCACCGCGCGCGCCUCGCCCCGGCAGGAAAAGGAUGCGCCUCCACUUAGCAAGGCUGGGCAGGAUGUGGUUCUGCAUCUGCCCACAGACGGGGUGGUUCUAGACGGCCGCGAGAGCACAGAUGACCACGCCAUCGUCCAGUAUGAGUGGGCACUGCUGCAGGGGGACCCGUCAGUGGACAUGAAGGUGCCUCAAUCGGGAACCCUGAAGCUGUCCCACCUACAGGAGGGAACCUACACCUUCCAGCUGACCGUGACGGACACUGCCGGGCAGAGAAGCUCUGACAACGUGUCAGUGACAGUGCUUCGCGCGGCCUACUCCACAGGAGAUGGAUGGUCCAUUUGCUGCAUCUGUUCCAAGAGGGAAGCUAAGGAGUUUAGUGAAACCAGUUGAACUCGUGGAAGCAGAGAGUGGAAUGGCGGUUACUGGAGGCUGUGCGGGGGACGGACUGGGAAAGGAGAGAUGCUGGUCAAAGGGUACAAAGUGUCACUGAGACCGGAGGAACAGGUUCUGGUGAUCUGUUGUACAGCAUGGUGACUAUAGUUAAUGAUAAUGUAUUGUCUGUUUCAAAAUUGCUAAAACAGUAGGUUUUAAAUGUUGUCAUCACAAAAAGAUUACAAGUAGGGGAGAUGAUAGAUGUGUCAGUUAGCUUGAUGUAAUCAUUCCACAAUGCAAACAUAUAUCAAAACAUCACAUUGUGCCUCAUAAAUAUAUACUCUCCUUUUUUGUCAAUUAAAAAUACAUAUUAAAAAAACAAGGAAAAGGCAUACCACAGGAUUGAAGAAAGACUUGGCUCUUGGGUGUAAUCAAUUGCUGAUACAAUAAGUCACUUCAAAAAUUUUAGAAAGAGAAAAAGAGUGCAGCUAAGGAGUACGGUUAAAAUUAAUUGAAAUACGCAAAGGACCCGUCAAUUUGAAAGUGCUACCUACACAUUUUCAUAGACACUUUACACAGAUGCAUAGUUAUAUUAAUAAUAUAACUUUAAAUACAUAUGAUGGUUCUCACAUUCUGUUGUACAAUGUAACAAUGUAAAACUUAUUUCAUUCAUCUAUGUUUCUUACUUUUCUAAACAUCUACAUUUUUUUUUUGAGAGGGAGUUUUGCUCUUGUUGCCUAGGCUGGAGUGGGAGUGCAGUGGUGCAGUCUCGGCUCACUGCAACCUCUGCCUCCUGGGUUCAAGUGAUUCUCCUGCCUCAGCCUCCCAAGUAGCUGGGACUACAGGUGUGCACCACCACGCCCUGCUAAUUUUGUAUUUUUAGUAGAGACAGGGUUUCACCAUGUUGGCCAACCUGGCCUCGAAUUCCUGACCUCAGGUGAUCCACCCGCCUCAGCCUCCCGAAGCACUUAGACUACAGGCGUGAACCACCACGCCCAGCCCAACGUCUACAUGUCUAAGAAAGAUUAGGUCAUCAAAUUUUUAAAAAUAUCCAUUGCAUGGAACUUAGCGACACUAAAGAUAUUGUAGUAUUGUAGAGGGAACCCCUCACCACACACACAAUUCACUUCUGGAGAGGUGCUAAGGUCUUGUACAUUUAAAUAUCCUGUUACUCGGUCAUCGUGUAUUUUCUUAGUGUAUGCAGUGUGCAGGGACCUUGCCAGGCACUGGGGAUAGAGUGGUGCACUGGUGGUCCCUGACUCUGGUAAACUUGCAGUAAGUCUGUGAUAUUUUUGAAUUCUCAGUAUUCAAUACUCAGGAUCCAGAUGGUAAUUAAGCCAGCAGAGUGCAGAAUGAGGAUAAAAGAGUUGGAACAGGACUGUGAUUUACUUGUACUAUAUUGGAUCUAGCCUUCUAUCAAAAACUGAGGAUGUUUGCACACUUGCUCGCGCUACCACUUCUUCUGUGACGAUGGCUGCUGCAUUGACAUCACGCUCGCCUGCGAUGGAGUGCAGCAGUGUCCUGAUGGGUCUGAUGAAGACUUCUGCCAGAAUCUGGGCCUGGACCGCAAGAUGGUAACCCACACGGCAGCUAGUCCUGCCCUGCCAAGAACCACAGGGCCGAGUGAAGAUGCAGGGGGUGACUCCUUGGUGGAAAAGUCUCAGAAAGCCACUGCCCCAAACAAGCCACCUGCAUUAUCAAACACAGAGAAGAGGAAUCAUUCCGCCUUUUGGGGACCAGAGAGUCAAAUCAUUCCUGUGAUGCCAGAUAGUAGUUCCUCAGGGAAGAACAGAAAAGAGGAAAGUUAUAUAUUUGAGUCAAAGGGUGAUGGAGGAGGAGGGGAACACCCAGCCCCAGAAACAGGUGCAGUGCUACCCCUGGCGCUGGGUUUGGCUAUCACUGCUCUGCUGCUUCUCAUGGUUGCAUGCCGACUACGACUGGUGAAACAGAAACUGAAAAAAGCUCGUCCCAUUACAUCUGAGGAAUCGGACUACCUCAUAAAUGGGAUGUAUCUAUAGUAAUGUAAUUUCAAUACCUUGGGGCAGGGACAUGUUUUGUUUAUAAUUUAUACAUCUAUUAAGUUCUGGAUAUUUACAGCUUCUUUUGUUUUUAAUUGGGCCAGAAGAUUCUGCAAAUCCCAAAUCUUUCUUUAUUAUUUAUUGUAAAAAAAUGUUCCUUAGGAAGUCAUAAAAUAUUUUGAAAUUUAGAGAGGAAUUCAUGAUUAAAGAUUCCUAAAAAUAUAAUUCUGAUUUAUGUAAGCUGUCCCUGAAAAUAGAAAUGUGUACUUAGCUGAGAGAAAAUUCAGCAUCUCAGGAGGUGGUAUUAGGAUGACUGUGUUAACCCAUUACCUUUUAGAAGCCAACUGUUGGCCCCUUACCAUGCUGGACUGCUAUAGGCCCAGCUUCCCCUUGUUCUGUGGCCCUUUUCUUCCUCCUUGAAGCUCCCAGUAUUCUUUUUCUUUUCCCCUCUAAACCUGUUUCUGAGAGUGGAUCUCAAGCGAGUUCAUGCCUUCAAUCAGAUGUUACUUAGGGUGGGUAUACCUAAAUUAUAAACCUUAUGUACAAGUCAGUGAGCCUUAGGGAAGGUGAGUGUGGGUCCUUCCUAAUCCCUCUGACAUCAUGUCAUAUAGGUGGCUGCCUCCUUAGACUGACCUUUGGGAGAAAAAAAAACCCAGACUUUGAAUUAGUAACAGCUCUAAGAUGGUCAUGCAGUGAAAUAGGAAAUCAAGAUGGAAGCAGAGAAUCUGGCAUGCCAAAAACUAACAGAAACUUAGUUGAAGGCAAAGAGAGCAAGGAGAACGUUUAAUACUUCGUUACAUCAAGUCAACACUGCUCCAUGGUGAGAGCACAGCAACUCAUUUAUAUAUAUAUAUAGCCUUUGUUGAUGAAAAACGACAAUUGAAGAGAGGACGUUGAGUGGAUUCCUGGGUACAGCUUUUGUAAAAAUGUCACCAUGGCUUUCAUCCAAUGGGAUGAGUCGAUGUUUUUUAGUGCUAUAAAAUAUUAGAAUGUGCCAUCAGCUAAUGCCAGGCUUACGUAUUUCUAGACCAUAAAGCAGUUUUUCACAAAUUCAUCUUUAUAGAAAACCAGCAUCUAGCUUAGCAUCUUUCCCCUUUUAAUUUGUAGGCUUUUAAAGGCAAAUCAUUCCCACCAUCACUUAAUGCUGGGAUUAUACACAUUCUAGAAAUGAUUCUGAGAGGAAUGUAUAGUAUGGUGCCUAUCUACACUCACAUGAUAUUCUUAUUCACGUUUUUUUUUACCAUAAGUGGCAAAUAUUUUUAAAUAUUUGAAAAACACUCCAGAAUCUAGUACACUUUAUUUUUAGACUGAACCUAAAGUAGGUUGUUCUUUUAACAAAGGGUUUAAUUUGGGUGGGGAAUAUAACAUAUCAAAAUACAUGAACAAAUAGAAAGUUACUUCUAGAAAAGCAAAGAAAUUGGGUAUCAUUUUUGUUUCUUGGGAAGCUAAUUUUGUUGAAUGUUUAGAAUUGAGCAAAGAUGUAAAUUUUUGAAGGGCAAUUUAGAAAAAUUAACUUUGUGAAUGAACUUAAGAUGUCUGUACUCUAUAUGUGAUGCUGUGCAGUUUGUUUUUAUAUGGAAAGAUGUCAACUAUAGCCAUAACCAAUAAAAUAAAAACUGAUGAGGCAUGCAGCUUUCAGCACAUCUUUUAUACAUGAAGAAAUUAAUUCUGUGUUGCUAUGGUGUUGAAAUAUCCAAGAUGUUCUGUAUCUAUGUAAACAUGAUUCCUUUAAUAAAUUGUAUUUUAUUAUUAA
Molecule: RNA transcript, 5091 nt
Organism: Pan troglodytes (chimpanzee)
Lineage: Eukaryota; Metazoa; Chordata; Mammalia; Primates; Hominidae
Gene: LRP11
Gene name: LDL receptor related protein 11
Exons: 8
Source: RefSeq, a predicted model, not a curated record